AACGAACGCUGGCGGCAGGCCUAACACAUGCAAGUCGAACGCUGCAGCAAUGCAGAGUGGCAGACGGGUGAGUAACGCGUGGGAACCUUCCCAAUGGUACGGAAUAGCCCAGGGAAACUUGGGGUAAUACCGCAUAAGCCCCAUGGGGGAAAGAUUUAUCGCCAUUGGAUGGGCCCGCGUCGGAUUAGCUAGUUGGUGAGGUAACGGCGCACCAAGGCGACGAUCCGUAGCUGGUUUGAGAGAAUGACCAGCCACACUGGGACUGAGACACGGCCCAGACUCCUACGGGAGGCAGCAGUGGGGAAUCUUGGACAAUGGGCGAAAGCCUGAUCCAGCCAUGCCGCGUGAGUGACGAAGGCCUUAGGGUUGUAAAGCUCUUUUGGCGGGGACGAUAAUGACGGUACCCGCAGAAUAAGUCCCGGCUAACUUCGUGCCAGCCGCCGCAGUAA
This 449-nucleotide ribosomal RNA is filed under the name uncultured bacterium. RNAcentral describes it as "partial 16S ribosomal RNA". It matches the Rfam family "Bacterial small subunit ribosomal RNA", at positions 29 to 523 of the family's 1533-position model. The record is from RNAcentral.